GCGGCAGUAUGGAAGAUUGUUGUCGUGGAUGCAGACUUUAAGACUUUAGAUUCGCCAAGUCGGAUGUGAAAGCAGCUGGAAAAGACUCUGCGAAAUGCAAAGCACAGCCGACUUUGAGCCUCUCCCACAACCUCGUCGCACUGCAAAAAGGAGGGAGAAUAAUUGGAAUAAAAAAUGUGCUAAUAAUGAAGAACAUUCAUGAUAGAGAGACGGCAAGUAACUGACCGGAACGGAAUCAUGGUUCAAGAGUUAUGGAACAAAAUAACUUUUCAGUGCCGUCGAUGGCUCAACAGCCACGAUGUCGGGUUGCCUCCGGCUCAAUGGAUUCUCGUGAGUUCGUUACACUGUUUUGCCUCCAUUUGAAAGCACCAUAUUAUUACAAAUACUCCAUUCAA
Molecule: non-coding RNA, 395 nt
Organism: Bemisia tabaci
Lineage: Eukaryota; Metazoa; Arthropoda; Insecta; Hemiptera; Aleyrodidae
Source: RefSeq, a predicted model, not a curated record